RNAcentral lists this long non-coding RNA (591 nucleotides) under Androctonus crassicauda. The record is from RNAcentral. Lineage: Eukaryota; Metazoa; Arthropoda; Arachnida; Scorpiones; Buthidae.
UUUAAAUAAAAUUUUGCAUGUCUCAGUUUUUUAAUAAAUGUAUACAAAUAAUGUUCACAUUUUACAACAGCACUAUAAGCAAGUGGACAAAUUUUGGUAUAGUGAAGCGUUUUAGGAUCUGGUAUCGGUUCCUCAUCGGGAUAAGUCUCAUUAAGAAUGUUGCAAAGUUCUGUUCUUUUGUAUGCUGUUGUAUCUUUAAUGAGACUUGUACUGAUGAUGGACCAGUACCUGGUCCGAAAACGUUUUACUAUAUUAAAAUUUGUUUACUUGCUUAGUGUUGUUGUAAAGUAUGUUGCAAAUGUAUGUGGUCCAAUACAAUUCACAAUACAGUCGAUCCUCAACUUUCCUACGUAACUGGUUCCUGAAAUGGUAUACGAAAAUAGAGCAAUGUAAAAAAUACGUGGAAAUGUUUUUAAAAUAUUUAUUUUACAACAUACAACAUGAUAUAUGUCCUAAAUUGAGUGAACUUGUGAUGCCGGAAACUAAUGAUGGGAAAGGAGGGGAGAGUGACUAUAAGGAAAUAGGCAUAUUUUUUGGAUACAUAUCAAUAAAAAUUUAACUUUUAAAUAUGUAUGAAAUAGCAAAUUGUAC